RNAcentral lists this transfer RNA (73 nucleotides) under Pseudomonadota bacterium. Its description in RNAcentral is "tRNA-Trp". It matches the Rfam family "tRNA". From Rfam's summary of the family: Transfer RNA (tRNA) molecules are approximately 80 nucleotides in length. Their secondary structure includes four short double-helical elements and three loops (D, anti-codon, and T loops). RNAcentral also lists the same sequence under 4 other names. Lineage: Bacteria; Pseudomonadati; Pseudomonadota. The record is from RNAcentral.
AGGGGUGUAGCUCAAUUGGUAGAGCAGCGGUCUCCAAAACCGCGGGUUGUGGGUUCGAGUCCUGCCACCCCUG